This is a non-coding RNA of Acanthoscelides obtectus, 73 nucleotides long. Lineage: Eukaryota; Metazoa; Arthropoda; Insecta; Coleoptera; Chrysomelidae. The record is from the annotation of a GenBank genome assembly.
GCCUGAGUAGGUCAAGUGGCAGAGCACUGGUCUUGUAAACCAGGAGUGGUGAGUUCAAUCCUCACAGGAGGCA